GCGCCGCGCCCGGCCGGCCGCCGCCGCAGCCCGACCCCGGCCCGCGCCCGGAGGGGGCUCGGCCGGCAGGUCUGCGUCCCCCCUGAGGAGCCAGUCCCCAGAUCCCGCCAUCCCUGACCACCGUCACGACCGCACCGCCAGAAUGUCAGCUCCACCCGGCGGGGGCUUUCCGGGGAAGGUUUGGGACCAUCCUGACACACAAAACUGGAUCGCAGUAGCUCAUGAAUGAUGGUCUCAAAGAUUCUUCUCAGAGUGAAAGAGACAGAGUUCUGGGAAGAUUAGGACAUUUUAGAAAAUCUCUUCUCCCUCCUAAUCAUGAGCACCACCAAUGCCAUCAUUUCCAUAAUCAUCUUUAGAAUUAUCUGAAGUGGAAAGGGAGCAACAGACCUGUCUAAUGAAUAGGUGGGAAAAAAUAGAACCAGCUGAUCCGUGAUUGGGUGGCCCACUGCGUGCGGUCAGGGGGAACCCGAAGGUUGGACCUGCACCCAUUCUCCAGCUUGGACUCCCUCUCAUCUUGCUCGGCUCCUGCCCCGCUGCAGACACAAGACAGUCUCAACAUCCUACCUUGGUGCCUACGCAGAGAACACUGCACUCCAUCUCAGGAUCGUCUUGCUAUCCCCCCUUCUAAACUUUCAGAGGCAUACAUCUGAGCCUCUCUUGGAGUUUUUGUGUUUUGCUCCUUUAUAUUUGAUACCUAUGAUAUCUUGUCACAUGCUGCAUAAUGAAGUGUUCGUCCAUGAGACACCACAUAGAAUGAUGGACCCCUAAGAUUGUGAUGAAGCUGAAGAAUUCCUGUCACCUAGUGAUGUGGUGAUCGUGGUGACAUCACAACACCACACUCCUAUGCUUGUGAUGAUGCCGGUGUGGACAAACCUACUGAGCUGCUGGGCAUAUGAAGACAGCACGAUACAACUACGUGCAGUACCUGAUGCUCCAUCAUGGACCUCUGCAUCUCUGGCUUGUGCUGUGCCUUCUUGGUGCUUUGGAGAGUACUCCUGCUUGCAAAGAGAGGCUCCCUGGGACGCCGUUGCUUUACCUACACUGUCGGGAGUCGCCACAUGCAUCUUGUGUUCUCCGCGUCUUCUUGACUACAUCGUCAUCUCUGUGCCUGCUUUAAUGUGUGUUGUUGAGCUCAACAUGGGCCUGGGAGCAACAGGCCAUGCCAUGCAUGCCACAUGGCCUAGGCUUGCAGGAGCUGUUCCAUCCAGGUUCAUGUCACCACGCUCAGUGGCAUUCCUGCCUAACUGAGCAGAACAGUCCAGAACUGUUCUCAGAACAGUCCCAUCAUUAAGCGAUGUGUGACUGCAUGGAGGGGCAGAUCCCCUCCCACUGGACUAUAAAUUUGAGGUUAGCCAUAUUCUCCCUCAUGCCUGACUCCAGCCACCAAGCAGGUGCUUUUGAUUGAGCAAGUACCUCCAUAAGCACCUGUCGAAAGAACCAGGAACCGGAAGUUUGGUUCCAUUGCUUCUAGGACCUGUGUUGACAAGAACACAUUUGGGGGAACAAUACCAGGUUGGCAGAGCAGCUGUGAUUUGCCAGACACCUUACCAAGUCUCCUGGGCACAUGGGCAAAUGACAUUUAUUUGCCUGUUUCCUGAUUAAAAGACCCUAUGACUGUUUACUUUUCUUGGCCAGAAACCAGUUAGCAUGAGACUCCAUCCUCUUUCCCACCAGCUGGCGGGGUGCAGAUAAGCAUGGUGGCCUUGGAAACUGCAUCUGAGGGUUGACGCAGCACAGAUGGGCAGAGCCCAGGCCCUCGAAUCAGCACAUGGAAGGAAGCCACCUCCCAACCACCAACACCGUCUGGGGAUUUUUGUGGGUCAGAAACUUGGAAAGGGCUCAGCUGGAUGGUUCUUCUGCUAUAUGUGACAUCAACUGGGAUCAAGCACCUGACCUAUUCAGUCAGCACUGGACAAGACUGAAAGGUCUAAGAAGUCAUUUAUGUCUGCUUGAGAUCUCAGAAUCCCCUCUGUAUGUACUCAGUGUCUCUCUGUGUUGUCUCACCACUUGGUAAUUUAGCUUGCUCUUGCAUGGUAACUGGCAUCCCUACAGAAAACAUCCCUAAGGGCAAGCUGCCAGGCCUCCUAAAAGUCAGUCUUAUAUCUGACACACUGCUACCUUCUCUGCAUUUUACCAUCAGAGCAGGCCACAAGAUCAGCCCAGAUUCAAUGUUGGAAAAAUAGACUCACCUUCCAGUGGGCAGAACUGAUUGCAGCCAUUGUUGGAAACAAUCAACUGCAGAGAAUGAAGUGAGGAGUUGGACCGUGGCAAAGGUAGAAAGGGGCCAUUUCACACUCUAGACAGAGGGAGCCACUAGGACAAGGCCUUGAGAUGGGACACACUCAGUGUUGAGGAUUGAUUACAAAAAAAAAAAAAAAAUCAAAGAGGUCAAAGAUAUAUGGUGACUGUGCUAAAGAGGAAGGAGCAAUAGGGUAAGUCACUACAAAUGGGAUCAGGGCCCUUCUAAGAGGCCUGAACAGCUGACAGAGACAGAGUGUCGGUGAGAUGAUCAGGAGACUUGGAGUCAGGGUUAGGUCUUCAUAUUUUAUUCCAAAUGUGAUGAGAUGCUUUCUUAGGAGAGCAGAGUGAAAUAGCUCAUGUGUCAGAGGGAGCACUCUGGCUGUUCUGUGGAGAAUGGAUCAGAGGAAAGAACUGAAGGAAGGAGGGAGACCAGCGUGGGGCUCCUGCCAUCAUCCUGGUGAGAGGUGUUGGUGACUUAGAGAGAUGCAGCAAGUGGCCAGAUUCUGGGUUUGGGAUUUUGAAAUUACAGCUGGCAAGGCCUGCCAACAGAGUGGAUGGAAAUGGGAGAGAAAGGAUGAAUCAAAGCUGAUUUUUAGAUUUUUGAGGCUAGAUGACUAUCAUUUAGUGGAAUAAAAAAGACAUAGGAGAAAAAGAUUUAAGGUAAGGAGUAAUGAAAAUAAAGAGUUAUGCUUCAGAUCAAGUUCAGAGAGAGAUCAUCAGAAAUCACACUGGAGCUUUUAAUUGAGCAAACUUCUAUGGUCUGCAUGGUUGUGUCACCCCAAACUUCAUGAGCUGAAACCUGAAACCUGCUCCCCAGGGUGAAGACAUUAAGGGGUGGCCUUGAGAGAUAAUUAGGUUGAGGGCAGAGCCAUCAGAAAUGGGCUCAGUGCCCUUCUACGGACACCCAAGGAGUUUGUUUGCCUCUUCCACCCUGUGAAGACCCAGCGUGAAGAUGCCAUCCACAAAUCAGAAAGCAAGCCUCCCUACACACUCAGCCAGCUGGGCCUUGAUCUUGGACUUCCAGCCUCUAAAACUGAGAGCAAUAAAUUUUCUGUUGUUUGUAA
Long non-coding RNA from Marmota monax (woodchuck), 3305 nucleotides. RefSeq lists it as uncharacterized. The record is from RefSeq and is a predicted model, not a curated record. The transcript is spliced from 3 exons. Lineage: Eukaryota; Metazoa; Chordata; Mammalia; Rodentia; Sciuridae.